This 253-nucleotide ribosomal RNA is filed under the name uncultured bacterium. Its description in RNAcentral is "partial 16S ribosomal RNA". It matches the Rfam family "Bacterial small subunit ribosomal RNA", at positions 524 to 776 of the family's 1533-position model. The record is from RNAcentral.
UACAGAGACUGCAAGCGUUAUUCGGAUUUACUGGGCGUAAAGGGCGCGCAGGCGGCUCAUUUUGUCAGGCGUGAAAGCCCCGGGCUUAACCUGGGAGGUGCGUUUGAUACGGAUGGGCUAGAGUUCGGGAGAGGAGAGUGGAAUUCCCAGUGUAGAGGUGAAAUUCGUAGAUAUUGGGAAGAACACCGGUGGCGAAGGCGGCUCUCUGGACCGAGACUGACGCUGAGGCGCGAAAGCGUGGGGAGCAAACAGG